CAUUAUUCUUACACUGUAUAUUAAUAUAUAAAUGUAAGCAUAAAUCGUCCUCUUUGAGAACAAAUGACUCUUUGUGAUUAUAAAAGGCUAUACUAUAUUACAUUAUAUAUUGUCAUUCUUUAGGUCAUACAUGUACUGUUAUCAUAAUAGUAUCAUUAUUCUUACACUGUAUAUUAAUGUAUAAAUGUAAGCAUAAAUCGUCCUCUUUGAGGACAAAUGACUCUUUGUGGUUAUAAAAGGCUAUACUAUAUUACAUUAUAUAUUGAUAGUUCCUUUUGUCAUACAUGUACUGUUAUCAUAAUUGUAUCAUUAUUCUUACACUGUAUAUUAAUAUAUAAAUGUAAGCAUAAAUCGUCCUCUUUGAGAACAAAUAACUCUUUGUGGUUAUAAAAGACUAUAAUACAUUACAUAUAUAUUGAUAGUUCCUUUUGUCAUACAUGUACUGUUAUCAUAAUUGUAUCAUUAUUCUUACACUGUAUAUGAAUAUAUAAUUGUCAACAUUAAUCGUUCUCUUUGAGAACAAAUAACAUAAAGGCGUUGAAAAAUCUGAAAGAAUAGCGGAAAAACUGCUGUCGAACCAUUAAUGUUUAUAUUUUAUUUAAAUCAAGAGUUAUCUUUGUUAUAUUUUUAUGUUAAGCUAUUGUUAAAUGUUUUAAAUUGAUAUAAUGUUAUUUUUACUUAAUAAAACCACUUGUGCUCAAUUCCAAGUUAUUAUGAUAUGUAUUUCAAUGUAUUUAUUAAUCAUAUCCAACAGCAUAGAUUGAAUGCCAAAUGUCACCUAUCUUUACGAAUAGUUACAGAAUAGAAAUGCAUAUCAAAUAUAAAAAAAACAUAGCCGUAAACGAUCACAAAACAAAAGAAUAUAAAAAAAAAUAAAAUUAAUAGCAAUUAAUGAAUAAAUGAAAAAAAACCGCACACAUAAAGAAUAAAUCAAUUAUAAAAUAAAAAAAAAAAACAAUAUCAGGCAAACACACCAACUACCACUCAAAAGCAAUUUGUAUAAUUUUCUGCAAAACCCUUUUUCAAUGUUAAUAAGAUAUGAAAACAGUUAAUAUAUACAAUAACCUUUUGUUAGAUCCUAAUUUGGUUACUAGAUGUUAAUUUUAACUGAAGGACCAUAUGGUUUCAAUGACAUGGCACAUAUUCAAAAACAUACAUGAAACUUGUUCCGGGGUAUUUGACUGUCUUAUUUUAUUAUAUCACUCUCCUACUUAGGAAUCUAAACCAGUAUCCGGACGAAAUCCUUAGAUAAAAAUCAUCAUCUUUUUUAGACCAAGUAGAUAUCAUUUUUCAUUUUUUACAUAGCUUUCUUUUCACUGAAAGAAGGUUGCCGUUUACAA
This 1340-nucleotide long non-coding RNA is filed under the name Mytilus galloprovincialis (Mediterranean mussel). The record is from RNAcentral. Lineage: Eukaryota; Metazoa; Mollusca; Bivalvia; Mytilida; Mytilidae.